GACCUAGUAGCGGAUGGACCGCGCCUGCAUUCAGCGGCAAUACUUACAGAUUUCUGCUGCAGGAACCCCUGGUUCGACUCCAGGCUAGGUCA
Mycena epipterygia is the source of this 92-nucleotide non-coding RNA. NCBI's taxonomy places the organism in Eukaryota, Fungi, Basidiomycota, Agaricomycetes, Agaricales, Mycenaceae. The record is from the annotation of a GenBank genome assembly.